RNAcentral lists this ribosomal RNA (975 nucleotides) under Arthrobacter sp. EF2. RNAcentral's name for it is "bacterial SSU rRNA". It matches the Rfam family "Bacterial small subunit ribosomal RNA", at positions 538 to 1510 of the family's 1533-position model. Lineage: Bacteria; Bacillati; Actinomycetota; Actinomycetes; Micrococcales; Micrococcaceae. The record is from RNAcentral.
GGGGGCUCCGGAAUAUUGGGCGUAAGAGCUCGUAGGCGGUUUGUCGCGUCUGCCGUGAAAGUCCGGGGCUCAACUCCGGAUCUGCGGUGGGUACGGGCAGACUAGAGUGAUGUAGGGGAGACUGGAAUUCCUGGUGUAGCGGUGAAAUGCGCAGAUAUCAGGAGGAACACCGAUGGCGAAGGCAGGUCUCUGGGCAUUAACUGACGCUGAGGAGCGAAAGCAUGGGGAGCGAACAGGAUUAGAUACCCUGGUAGUCCAUGCCGUAAACGUUGGGCACUAGGUGUGGGGGACAUUCCACGUUUUCCGCGCCGUAGCUAACGCAUUAAGUGCCCCGCCUGGGGAGUACGGCCGCAAGGCUAAAACUCAAAGGAAUUGACGGGGGCCCGCACAAGCGGCGGAGCAUGCGGAUUAAUUCGAUGCAACGCGAAGAACCUUACCAAGGCUUGACAUGAACCGGAAACGUCUGGAAACAGGCGCCCCACUUGUGGUCGGUUUACAGGUGGUGCAUGGUUGUCGUCAGCUCGUGUCGUGAGAUGUUGGGUUAAGUCCCGCAACGAGCGCAACCCUCGUUCCAUGUUGCCAGCGCGUAAUGGCGGGGACUCAUGGGAGACUGCCGGGGUCAACUCGGAGGAAGGUGGGGACGACGUCAAAUCAUCAUGCCCCUUAUGUCUUGGGCUUCACGCAUGCUACAAUGGCCGGUACAAAGGGUUGCGAUACUGUGAGGUGGAGCUAAUCCCAAAAAGCCGGUCUCAGUUCGGAUUGGGGUCUGCAACUCGACCCCAUGAAGUCGGAGUCGCUAGUAAUCGCAGAUCAGCAACGCUGCGGUGAAUACGUUCCCGGGCCUUGUACACACCGCCCGUCAAGUCACGAAAGUUGGUAACACCCGAAGCCGGUGGCCUAACCCCUUGUGGGAGGGAGCUGUCGAAGGUGGGACCGGCGAUUGGGACUAAGUCGUACAGGGGUAACCCGUAAAAA